GGGUUGUGAGGUUAAGCGACUAAGCGUACACGGUGGAUGCCCUGGCAGUCAGAGGCGAUGAAGGGCGUGCUAAUCUGCGAUAAGCGCCGGUAAGGUGAUAUGAACCGUUAUAACCGGCGAUACCCGAAUGGGGAAACCCAGUGUGAUUCGUCACACUAUCAUUAACUGAAUCCAUAGGUUAAUGAGGCGAACCGGGGGAACUGAAACAUCUAAGUACCCCGAGGAAAAGAAAUCAACCGAGAUUCCCCCAGUAGCGGCGAGCGAACGGGGAGGAGCCCAGAGCCUGAAUCAGCAUGUGUGUUAGUGGAAGCGUCUGGAAAGGCGCGCGAUACAGGGUGACAGCCCCGUACACAAAAGCGCAUGUGCUGUGAGCUCGAUGAGUAGGGCGGGACACGUGGUAUCCUGUCUGAAUAUGGGGGGACCAUCCUCCAAGGCUAAAUACUCCUGACUGACCGAUAGUGAACCAGUACCGUGAGGGAAAGGCGAAAAGAACCCGGCGAGGGAGUGAAAAGAACCUGAAACCGUGUACGUACAAGCAGUGGGAGCACCCUUUGGGGUGUGACUGCGUACCUUUGUAUAAUGGGUCAGCGACUUAUAUUCUGUAGCAAGGUUAACCGAAUAGGGAGCCGGAAACCGAGUCUUAACCGGGCGUUAAGUUGCAGGGUAUAGACCCGAAACCCGGUGAUCUAGCCAUGGGCAGGUUGAAGGUUGGGUAACACUAACUGGAGGACCGAACCGACUAAUGUUGAAAAAUUAGCGGAUGACCUGUGGCUGGGGUGAAAGGCCAAUCAAACCGGGAGAUAGCUGGUUCUCCCGAAAGCUAUUUAGGUAGCGCCUCGUGAAUUCAUCUCCGGGGUAGAGCACUGUUUCGGCUAGGGGCCAUCCCGGCUUACCAACCCGAUGCAAACUGCGAAUACCGGAGAAUGUUAUCACGGGAGACACACGGCGGGUGCUAACGUCCGUCGUGAAGAGGGAAACAACCCAGACCGCCAGCUAAGGUCCCAAAGUCAUGGUUAAGUGGGAAACGAUGUGGGAAGGCCCAGACAGCCAGGAUGUUGGCUUAGAAGCAGCCAUCAUUUAAAGAAAGCGUAAUAGCUCACUGGUCGAGUCGGCCUGCGCGGAAGAUGUAACGGGGCUAAACCAUGCACCGAAGCUGCGGCAGCGACACUCAGGUGUUGUUGGGUAGGGGAGCGUUCUGUAAGCCUGCGAAGGUGGCCUGUGAGGGUUGCUGGAGGUAUCAGAAGUGCGAAUGCUGACAUAAGUAACGAUAAAGCGGGUGAAAAGCCCGCUCGCCGGAAGACCAAGGGUUCCUGUCCAACGUUAAUCGGGGCAGGGUGAGUCGACCCCUAAGGCGAGGCCGAAAGGCGUAGUCGAUGGGAAACGGGUUAAUAUUCCCGUACUUGGUGUUACUGCGAAGGGGGGACGGAGAAGGCUAUGUUGGCCGGGCGACGGUUGUCCCGGUUUAAGCGUGUAGGUGUGUGUUCCAGGUAAAUCCGGUUCACUUUAACACUGAGGCGUGACGACGAGGCACUACGGUGCUGAAGCAGCAAAUGCCCUGCUUCCAGGAAAAGCCUCUAAGCAUCAGGUAACAUCAAAUCGUACCCCAAACCGACACAGGUGGUCAGGUAGAGAAUACCAAGGCGCUUGAGAGAACUCGGGUGAAGGAACUAGGCAAAAUGGUGCCGUAACUUCGGGAGAAGGCACGCUGACAUGUAGGUGAAGUGAUUUACUCACGGAGCUGAAGUCAGUCGAAGAUACCAGCUGGCUGCAACUGUUUAUUAAAAACACAGCACUGUGCAAACACGAAAGUGGACGUAUACGGUGUGACGCCUGCCCGGUGCCGGAAGGUUAAUUGAUGGGGUCAGCGCAAGCGAAGCUCCUGAUCGAAGCCCCGGUAAACGGCGGCCGUAACUAUAACGGUCCUAAGGUAGCGAAAUUCCUUGUCGGGUAAGUUCCGACCUGCACGAAUGGCGUAAUGAUGGCCAGGCUGUCUCCACCCGAGACUCAGUGAAAUUGAACUCGCUGUGAAGAUGCAGUGUACCCGCGGCAAGACGGAAAGACCCCGUGAACCUUUACUAUAGCUUGACACUGAACAUUGAGCCUUGAUGUGUAGGAUAGGUGGGAGGCUUUGAAGUGUGGACGCCAGUCUGCAUGGAGCCGGCCUUGAAAUACCACCCUUUAAUGUUUGAUGUUCUAACGUGGACCCGUGAUCCGGGUUGCGGACAGUGUCUGGUGGGUAGUUUGACUGGGGCGGUCUCCUCCUAAAGAGUAACGGAGGAGCACGAAGGUUGGCUAAUCCUGGUCGGACAUCAGGAGGUUAGUGCAAUGGCAUAAGCCAGCUUGACUGCGAGCGUGACGGCGCGAGCAGGUGCGAAAGCAGGUCAUAGUGAUCCGGUGGUUCUGAAUGGAAGGGCCAUCGCUCAACGGAUAAAAGGUACUCCGGGGAUAACAGGCUGAUACCGCCCAAGAGUUCAUAUCGACGGCGGUGUUUGGCACCUCGAUGUCGGCUCAUCACAUCCUGGGGCUGAAGUAGGUCCCAAGGGUAUGGCUGUUCGCCAUUUAAAGUGGUACGCGAGCUGGGUUUAGAACGUCGUGAGACAGUUCGGUCCCUAUCUGCCGUGGGCGCUGGAGAACUGAGGGGGGCUGCUCCUAGUACGAGAGGACCGGAGUGGACGCAUCACUGGUGUUCGGGUUGUCAUGCCAAUGGCACUGCCCGGUAGCUAAAUGCGGAAGAGAUAAGUGCUGAAAGCAUCUAAGCACGAAACUUGCCCCGAGAUGAGUUCUCCCUGAGACUUUAAGUCUCCUGAAGGAACGUUGAAGACGACGACGUUGAUAGGCCGGGUGUGUAAGCGCAGCGAUGCGUUGAGCUAACCGGUACUAAUGAACCGUGAGGCUUAACCUUACAACGCCGAAG
This 2914-nucleotide ribosomal RNA is filed under the name Salmonella enterica. RNAcentral's name for it is "bacterial LSU rRNA". It matches the Rfam family "Bacterial large subunit ribosomal RNA". Lineage: Bacteria; Pseudomonadati; Pseudomonadota; Gammaproteobacteria; Enterobacterales; Enterobacteriaceae. The record is from RNAcentral.